Molecule: non-coding RNA, 183 nt
Filed under: Alkaliphilus metalliredigens
Lineage: Bacteria; Bacillati; Bacillota; Clostridia; Peptostreptococcales; Natronincolaceae
Also listed under: 1 other name
Description: Lysine sequence
Rfam family: Lysine riboswitch aptamer
About the family: Riboswitches are metabolite binding domains within certain messenger RNAs that serve as precision sensors for their corresponding targets. Allosteric rearrangement of mRNA structure is mediated by ligand binding, and this results in modulation of gene expression.
Source: RNAcentral
UUAAUAAGUAGAGGUGCAUUGAAGAAAAGUACGCAGUAGGUGUUAAGAGGAAGAGGACUCAAUACUACUGGGGAAAGGCUGACGUGCCGAAGUCGUUGAAAGAACUCUAGAUUAACGGCUGGGGGGACUGGUGAAAAACUGGCUCACUGUCAUAGAUUGUAUCUAUGGAGUGCUAUUUGUUGA